UACGGGGGGGGCAAGCGUUGUUCGGAAUUACUGGGCGUAAAGGGCUCGUAGGCGGCCAACUAAGUCGGAUGUGAAAUCCCCAGGCUUAACCUGGGAACUGCAUCCGAUACUGGAUGGCUUGAAUCCGGGAGAGGGAUGCAGAAUUCCAGGUGUAGCGGUGAAAUGCGUAGAUAUCUGGAGGAAUACCGGUGGCGAAGGCGGCAUCCUGGACCGGUAUUGACGCUGAGUGAGCGAAAGCCAGGGGAGCAAACGGG
RNAcentral lists this ribosomal RNA (254 nucleotides) under uncultured bacterium. RNAcentral describes it as "partial 16S ribosomal RNA". It matches the Rfam family "Bacterial small subunit ribosomal RNA", at positions 524 to 776 of the family's 1533-position model. The record is from RNAcentral.